RNAcentral lists this long non-coding RNA (203 nucleotides) under Elaeis guineensis (African oil palm). RNAcentral's name for it is "long non-coding RNA (EGUI_LNC051243)". The record is from RNAcentral. Lineage: Eukaryota; Viridiplantae; Streptophyta; Magnoliopsida; Arecales; Arecaceae.
CCACCAUCUCCAAGCAACUGAGGAGGAGUGAGACAUGGUUGAAAAGGGCCUACAUUCCAUCAUGAUGCAGUCAGAGGAGAAACUGAUCAUAGAAAAGUCUCGAGCUGAUGCUAUAGAGGUAGCUUUGGGGGAGACCAAGAGUUCUCUAGAGGAAGCUAAGAAAUCCCUUAAGAUAAGGAUCGCCCAGCUCUAGAAGAGUGAAG